RNAcentral lists this non-coding RNA (786 nucleotides) under Meleonoma mirabilis. The record is from RNAcentral. Lineage: Eukaryota; Metazoa; Arthropoda; Insecta; Lepidoptera; Cosmopterigidae.
AAAAAAAAUUUUUAUGGUUAAGAAAAUUUAUUAUAAAUUUAUUUUACAUAUAAAUUUUAGUGAAAAAUUUUAAUUAUUUAAAUAAUAAUUAAUUUUAAUAAAGUAGUAAUUAAUAUUAAAAAUUUAAGAAAUUAAGAUUUAGAAAUAUUAAAAUUAUUAACAAAUUUUGUGCCAGCAGUUGCGGUUAUACAAAAAUUAAAUUAAAUUUUAUUGACAAAUAAUAAAUAGAAAAUAAUAAAUAAGGAAAAUAUUAGAUUAUUAAGUGAAAUUUUAAUUUAAUUAAAUAUUAAAAUAUAUUAUGAUUUAAUAAAUUUUUUUAUAAACUAGGAUUAGAUACCCUAUUAUUAAAAAUUUAAACUAAUAAAUGUUAAAAUAGUAAAUAAUUAUUUAUUGAAACUUAAAUAAUUUGGCGGUAUUUUAGUUCAUUUAGAGGAAUCUGUCUAAUAAUUGAUAAUCCACGAAUAAAUUUACUUAAUUUUAUAGUUAAAGUUUUGUAUAUCGUUGUUAAAAAAAUAUUUUUAGAAAAAAAUAAUAUUUUAGAAUUAAAAUAAAAAAUUAAAUCAGAUCAAGAUGCAGGUUUAUAAUUAAGAAUAUGAUGGAUUACAAUAAAAUUAUUUAUAUGGAUAUUAAUUUGAAAAAAUUAAUUGAAAGUGGAUUUAAAUGUAAUUUUAAUUAAUUUAUUAAAAUGAAUAAAAAUUAAAAUAUGUACAUAUUGCCCGUCGCUUUCAUAAAUAAAUUGAAAUAAGUCGUAACAAAGUAGAGGUACUGGAAAGUGUUUCUAGAAAG